Molecule: ribosomal RNA, 403 nt
Filed under: Fusobacteriota bacterium
Lineage: Bacteria; Fusobacteriati; Fusobacteriota
Description: Fusobacteria bacterium partial 16S ribosomal RNA
Rfam family: Bacterial small subunit ribosomal RNA
Source: RNAcentral
UGGGGAAUAUUGCACAAUGGGGGAAACCCUGAUGCAGCGACGCCGCGUGAGCGAAGAAGGUUUUCGAAUCGUAAAGCUCUGUCCUAUGGGAAGAUAAUGACGGUACCAUAGGAGGAAGCCCCGGCUAACUACGUGCCAGCAGCCGCGGUAAUACGUAGGGGGCAAGCGUUGUCCGGAAUUACUGGGCGUAAAGGGUUCGCAGGCGGAAAUGCAAGUCAGUUGUGAAAGGCAGAGGCUCAACCUCUGUAAGCAAUUGAAACUGUAUUUCUUGAGAUGUGGAGAGGCAAGUGGAAUUCCUAGUGUAGCGGUGAAAUGCGUAGAUAUUAGGAAGAAUACCGGUGGCGAAGGCGCCUAGCUGGACACAAACUGACGCUGAGGAACAAAAGCGUGGGUAGCAAACAGG